This 254-nucleotide ribosomal RNA is filed under the name uncultured bacterium. RNAcentral describes it as "partial 16S ribosomal RNA". It matches the Rfam family "Bacterial small subunit ribosomal RNA", at positions 524 to 776 of the family's 1533-position model. The record is from RNAcentral.
UACGUAGGGGGCAAGCGUUGUCCGGAUUUAUUGGGCGUAAAGAGCGUGUAGGCGGUUUGGUAGGUCCGCUGUGAAAACUCGAGGCUCAACCUCGAGACGCCGGUGGAAACCAUCAGACUAGAGUCCGGAAGAGGAGAGUGGAAUUCCUGGUGUAGCGGUGAAAUGCGCAGAUAUCAGGAAGAACACCCGUGGCUAAGGCGGCUCUCUAGUAGCGGUACUGACGCUGAGACGCGAAAGCGUGGGGAGCGAACAGG